Molecule: non-coding RNA, 2062 nt
Organism: Marmota flaviventris (yellow-bellied marmot)
Lineage: Eukaryota; Metazoa; Chordata; Mammalia; Rodentia; Sciuridae
Source: RefSeq, a predicted model, not a curated record
ACCAAGGUCAAGUCCCAUGCAGUGCUCUUGUUCUUGGAAUUCCAUCAUGUUUUGCAUGAUCACUUCUCUAUCUCACCCCUGUGGUUACUGUCACCAUAUAAUCUACUGUUACAGUUACAUUGAAACUGGUUUGCCACAAUGUUCCUGGUCACCAAGAUCUCUGGGUUUGCAUAUAUUUUCAGCUGCAUUUUUAAGCUGAGUCCCUGCUAUCUGCCGCACACCCUGUGGAGGGCUUUGGUGAGUGGUGGCUGGAACUGGUCCUGGAUGAGCCAUCAACUGCCAUCACUUACCCAGCCCACUGGCACUCGCCCAGUGUACUGCGGGGACUCAAUGAAUGCUGGUUGAGUGGAGAGCGGAAUUCUCAGGCUUGGUCCCUUUCUGUGGACUUGGCAAGUGUGAGACCAUCCAGGUGCUCCACAGGACAGUCUGGCCACAGGUGGAAAGGGCAGCGUACCUCUUCCUCCUCACAGACCGGCUCAGGCUUGACUUCACACGGAUGCCCCUCUGCACGCCAGCCAGGUUAGGACGGUGGGAAAAAGCCCUCUCGGGCCUCAGUACCUCCUCCUCCUCUUGUCAGCUGCAUCUUAGCCGCACGGUGACCCUGCGCCCUGCAGCUGGAGACGUCGUGUGGUGACAGACCACUGAGGACUCGGUGUAAGACUACAGGUGCCUUUGUUUCCAGGACCUGCCCAGGAGGCUGGUGUACAGCACCGUGAGAUAGCGUGGCAGAGCUGCGAGCAGGUCUUUGUGGCUUGGCGUAAUCAUGCGCGUGUUCUAGACAGUCUGUUUUGCACAAACAGAAGAAUUCCCAGCCAUGUAUUAGAGGCAGAAAUCAGGAGGACUAGAUAAGUGCGUCUGUUCAGAUCAGAGCUAAUCUGCUACAGAAACCUGCACAGACUCGCAGCUUCUCCCAGGCGUGGAAUUGCAGAAGGAGCAAAGAAGCAGGAGCCUGAGUCCCCAGGCAGAAUUGCGACUGCACUGCCAAGGUCAUCCCAGUGCUCUGCUGUGCACAGUCACUUAGUCUCCGAGUGCCACUGAUAUCCCUGGAGAGCAGAGACCCGCCCAGGGUGACCACUGGAGGACGCCUUGCUGGUGAGUGGGCAGCCAGGGCCCUCCCCGCAUUGCCCUAGGUGCUUGUUCAGCCUUUGCACUCCCCGCCUCCCCUUAGGAUUAAGGAGCCCAACAUUCUGUUCUGCUGGGGCAUCAGGCCACUGUAUGAGGCCCAAGUCAUGAAAGAUGGAGCUGGUUGUGAUGAUGAUGUGGGUGGGCGGCAGGCCCCUGCAGAAUCAACGAGCCCUGUGCCUGCAAGAAGAGCUGCUAGAGGGGUUGGACAUCCAGGCUCCCAGACAUCGGUGUCACCAGCAGCCGUGGAGCUCUGCAGACGACCAGGUGUCUUUUCUGAGAAGUCCAGGCGCAGCUACAGACCCCUAUUGCUUCCAUGACCAGCUCUGUGUGCCUCGUCCAGGCUCCACAGCCAAGUUAAUUGUGUCAAACAGGUUGGGUCUCAGCCUUCCUCUGCCCAAACCCCACCUCCCCUGGUCCCCAUCACUUGGGCAGGAUCCAGUCUGGCUGCAGCCUGUAGGACCCAUGUUGCCAGCUGGUCACCGCUCCUGUCCCCACAUUCCUCUCACUGGACCCAUCCCCAAGCUGCUCAGAGCACAGGCAUCUCCUCCUGUCCCUGAUCGUAGGACUUUAUUUCUCUAUGCCUCGCUCCUGAUUCUGUCAUCUUGGUACAUAUCCGUGGUGGCACAGAAAACCCUCACCCGAGGGGACUGUUCCUGCCGCUGUCCCACUGGCCCACCUUGGCCUUCCUCUUGGUACCUGUCACCCCACCUGGGCUGUUUUCGUGCACUGCCUGCCUCCACAGCCCCACCCAGAUGUCAGACCCAGGGAUGAGGGGCCGCACGUAGGAAUUGCACGGACACAGAACCAGAAGCCGUAGCCCAAAAAAAUGGAAUAUCAGGAUCAGACAUUAAAUGAUAUUAUUAUUCUAGUUUUUCUCUUGGCAUGUUUUACCUUCAAACCUGUGUUCCUGGGCUGGGUGGUGGCUCAGCAGUGGAGA